This 5984-nucleotide long non-coding RNA is filed under the name Sus scrofa (pig). Its description in RNAcentral is "lncRNA (ENSSSCG00000054781.1)". Lineage: Eukaryota; Metazoa; Chordata; Mammalia; Artiodactyla; Suidae. The record is from RNAcentral.
CUCCCAUGGCAUAUGGAGGUUCCCAGGCUAGGGGUCUAAUGGGAGCUAUAGCCACUAGCCACAGAGCCACAGCAAUGCAGGAUCCUAGGCGUGUCUGCAACCUAGACCAAAGCUCACGGCAACGCCGGAUCCUUAACCCACUGAGCAAGGCCACGGAUCAAACCUGCAACCUCAUGGUUCCUAGUCAGAUUUGUUAAGCACUGCGCCACGAUGGGAACUCCCAUUUUAGUUUUUUUAAGGUUUUUUCAGUAAAACAUCAGUGCAAGUGUCCAUAUAAUACAUAUUAAAAACCUUUGGAAAAUUAGAUUGUAACAUAAGGCAACAGGAAACUGGGUGUUGAUGAGACACAAAUGGCUGCCUUCCACUGUGAUCUCUUGGAAUCUAUUAAUUUAUAGAUUGAUCUAACAUAUAUAGAACAUCUAUUUUAUUUCCAUCCUAGUACUCAGGAAUUGCAAAUAACAACAUAGUGGUAUGGUAGUUAUGUAAUAAAUUAGUUAUAAUUAAUUUAUAAAAUAAUAAUAAAAAUAUUGAAAAACAUUAUAAGGGAAAAAAUUAUUUACUAUUAUCUACAUACUAUGUACCAAAAUCUACACAGAUCCUUUUGUAAUCUGCACAUUUUUUGUUUAAUCACCAAUACAACUCAGUAAUAAGUAAUACUUUUGAUGCUUGAGAAGAAAUGGAGGCUCAAAGAGUUUUAAAAAUUGAAAUAUGAUUCUUGAUUCUUCAUGGCUGAAUUCAUAUUGAGUCACUCCAGAGGUCAUGUUUUUUUUCAAAGUUAAAUGGGCCUGUACUGUUUACAAAAGACUUGUCAGAAAAGAUGCUGUGUGAGAUGAUAUGUGAUCCAGGCCUUGAACAUAACUAGGAUUUUGCCAGAUGGUUAUGAUGUUGAAGGACAUUGCAGGACAUGGAAACAGCUUAUGCAAAUAAAGUAAAUGAUAUAUUUGUGGAUCAGUGAAUUCUGUUUGGCUUUAGCUAUGGUCUGAACUGAAUUUGUAAAGUGUUUUGUAGGACUUGGCAGGGCCUUUCAGACAUGGUUGAGGUUAUUUUGUUGUGAGAAUGAGUGAGAGGAUUUUUCUUUUUAAACUUCAGAAUGAAUAAAGACAAAGAUUAUGGAGAGUCAAAAAACAGUAUCAUCAUUUAAAUGUUACAAUAGACUGGGAAUAGGCCAGAAACAGAAAGAUAGAGUGAUACAGAGUCAUGAAAAGUAUUUCUUUUACUACAGAUGGUUGGAGAAGCCCUUAUCUGGAGGAUUUAGUUCCUGAUUUGGUGUGGGUAUUAAAGGAAAAAGAUUUAAGAUGCUGAGUUUCCUACCUUGAGGCUGCAUGAAUCUCAUCAUUAUCACAAUAUGAAUGCAAGAAGGAUAUGGAGGGAAGGUAGAAUUAUUAUCAUUAUUAUUAUUAUUAUUGCUUUUAGGCCACACCCAUGGCACACAGAAGUUCCCAGUCCAGGGGUGAAAGUGGAGUUGCACCUGCUGGCCUGUGCCACAGCCAUAGCAAUGCAGGAUCUGAGCUGCAUCUGGGACCUAUACCACAGCUCACACAACCCCGGAUCCCCAGUGUUGCUGUGAGCAAGGACAGGGAUCGAAUCCAUCUCCUCAUGGAUACUAGUCAGAUUUGUUUCCUCUGUACCACAAUGGGAAUUCCGGAAGAUGGAAUUAUUAAAUCAGAAUGAGCCAUGCUUGUGAUUACCAUGCAGCACAUGUUUAAGGUAAAAGGAGAAGCAGAAGAGUAGACCCUGAAGAACAUAUAUGUGUAAGCGGUGAGCAAAGGAAGAGAAACUAUCAAAAGAGACUAAGAAAAGGUAGGAAUUUGAUCCAUGGCCUGGGAACUUCCAUAUAACAUGGGUGCAGCCAUUAAAAAAAAAAAAAAAAGAAUUUAGUAUAUACCAAUUUCAUUUUAUAGAGAAAGUAUCUCUUACUUUUAACUUAUCUUGUACAACUGGUCGCCAUGGCCUGCAGGCUCCUUUCUCUUUCUGACCUCUUGUUCUUCCACAGGCCCCUUUCCUGAUCAGCACAUUGGGCUUUUUGGUUUUCCACUUUCCCUUCUUACGGUCUUGCCUAAAAUCCUCUUCAUACAGAUUUAGCCACACUGUCUUCUUCUCUUUACCUUUCGCAUCUUUGCUCAAAUGUCAUUUCACCAGGAGAACUCCCUGAGUAUUCCAGCUGAAAUAGCACCAUUCUCGAAUACACACACAUUCUUACCUGUACUACCUUCUAUCCUCUUACUCGAUGUUAGUAUCUUUGUAUAACACUCUGAAAUCACAUGACAUUAACCACAUUAUUAUUAUUUCUUAUUCAUGAAGGUAGGGAGUGUGAGCAUCCUCUUCACUCUAAUAAUAGCGAGUCCCUAGAAUGAUGCCUCAUGAAUAAUACGGCUCAAGAAAAAUUGUUCAUUUUUCCAAGAACAGGCCUCUGACCUGACUGUGAGGUCAGCUUUAUUCCAAAAGUAAUGAUGAAAGACGAAGGAGGAAGAGGAAAAAGAGAAAACAGAGGAGGAAGAACAACACUGAGCUACAGACUGUUGUUUCAGGCAUAUUUUUUGGAAGAUUUCUAUAUCUAUACUGGGAAUAAUCAGCUAUAACAAUCUCCAAAAGUUUUAGAAGGAGAAAGGUAAGUUAAAAAUGGGUGUAUAUUUGAAUGAUAGAACAAUUUGCAUUUUUUGAACUUUAGUAUUCAUUCUUUUUCUAUAUCAUAGGGGCAAGUUUAAUAGAAACAAAGAAGUUAUAAAACGUUAAAAUGAAAGCCACCUGUAAACAUGCAUUUGAUGAUUUAUUUUAUUCAACUCUUCAUCUUCCAAGGGAGUCAAAAUGAAAUAAUUAUAUGCCAGUUAAAUUUCACUAAAUUCCACCAUCAACUCCUGAGAGGAAGUGGUAGCGGAGCUCUAAAUCAUCGUCAUCAAAUAACACAUUAUCUGUUUAUUAAGGCACAUUAUUUCAUAAGUAUGAUUAAUUUAUUAUCUUCAGAGUAAGUUAUUUAUGAUGAGAAUAAAAGUUUGACUUGGUAGGCUAAAAAAAUAAAAUCUGCCUAAUUUGUCAUGAUAGUAAGAUUUAGUGAAAUUUGUGGAAUUUAGUUUCUUAUCCUUUUUCCUGCCCCCACAAUGCAACUAUUCUACAUAUAAAAAUGAACACAACUAUUUUCCCUUUAAUAAGCUUGAGCUUUCUGUAUGGAACGGCAAAAGUACAGCAUAUUCUGGUAAACUCUUAAAAUUUGGAAAAAAGCAUCCAACUGUGCAUUUUUCCUAAUGUGAUGACUGGAAUACUUCAGCCAAACUGAGAUCCUGUUGACCUUGGCAGUAUUACUGAAGAAAAUAGCCUUUGAAAAAAGCCUAAGAUGCAUUUUCAAUAAAACAGGUAAGUAUUUGGUUCAAUAUCCAUUCUGCAUAUAGUGCAUAUUGCAUAUUUCAAAAGCAAUAUGUGUUCAAAAAAACAUAAUCUGUGUUCAAAGAAAAAAAGUAAAUCUAUUUUUUCUAUUAUUUUAAACUCAGUUUAGCUGGAACCUAUUGAUAGCAUGAUGUGAAGUAUUCUAUAUUUCUUGAUAUACUCAUACCAUAAUUUUUUUCAUUUUGUUUCAGUUCUUGUAAAUAUCACUGUUUUUCCAAAAAUAAAAUCCAACUUAAUGUAAAUGUCAUACAGUGAAUAUAUAUGAAAAGUAAAUAUAAAAAUUAAAAUAGGUCAUAGUACUAAUAGAUAUUCUUGACCCAGGAUAGCAGAAAAUGCAUUUAACCUCCAAGUUCCGUUAUCCAAAUCAUGGAAACAAUCAAUGCUAUGACCUAGUUGAAAUCUAUAAAGAAGGAGUCAGGUAGAUUAAACAUUGGGUUUACAAUUUAACUAAUAGAUCAAGUUGAAUUUUUAAAAUUUAAUAUAUCUUAUACUAUAGAAACAUGGAGUAAACAGUUCUAAAGAAAAUCUAUUCUAAAUGCUUAAAGUAAAACCACAAAUAAGCACAUAUAGAAAUAAAUUUUUAAAUUACAAAAUGUGCACAUAUAUAUUCCUUCCAAGAAGAUAUUCUGAGCAUUGCUAAUAAUGUUGGCAUUUGAUCUAACUUGUGGAUUUGAAAUAAUCUUAAAGAAUUCUUAGUACAUUUUCAAUAUUACUUAAAAUGUAUAUAAAGCUUUAAAAAGACUUCUGCACAGUUAAUGUCAUUUGAUCCUUGCAUGGACACUGUUGGUUGAGACAUAUAUUUAGAUAUUGUUCUAAAAGUCACUUGUUCUAAUAUGCAAAGAACUUAGAAUUAGGAUCUAAAGCAGUUGACUUUUUAAUUCAUUACUUUAUGAGUAUGAUCAUUCAUGUAUUGAGCAAUUAUAUAUGAUACCUAUUAUGUACCACACACACACACACACACACACACACACACUCACACACUGUUGAACAUGACAGAUUAUGAGUGUAAGUUUGCUCUUAUACAAAUUAAUACACUUCAUAUUUUAUAUUUUAAAAUUAGUAUUAUGAUUGUAUGCUAUAAAGAAAAAGAGAAAGUUAAGCAUUUAUUGCCCCCCCCCAAAAAAAAUCCAUCAUAGUCUAGGUCAGCAAAGGCUACCCUGAUGAAUUGACUGUGUUUAUCCCUUGCCUGAUGUACUGGAUUUCCAAUAGCUUUCCCAAUUUCAGGUAUUGUAUUCUAUUGUAUGCCAACAUUUUCAAGCCAUUGAUCUUAUUUUGGCUUCAGAAAAUAAUGAGGUUGUUAUUACUAUAAAAUAAAAAUAAAAUUCUGUACAAGAAUAUCUAAGAACACAUCAUUUGUUUUGUGGAUAGGCUUCUCUACCUUUAACUAAAUAAAUUCUUCUUUUCUUAAAAGGCUAUUUGAGGAGUUCCCAUCCUGGCGCAGUGGAAACAAAUCCGACUAGGAACCAUGAGGUUGUGGGUUCAAUCCCUGGCCUCACUCAGUGGGUUAAGGAUCUGGCCACGCCAUGAGCUCUGGUGUGGGUUGCAGAUGAGUCUCAGAUCCUGCGUUUCUGUGCCUGUGGCAUAGGCUGACAGCUGUAGCUCCCAUUGGACCCCCUAGCCUGGGAAACUCCAUAUGCUGCGAGCGCAGCUCGAAAAAGCAAAAUAAAUAAAUAAACAAAUAAAUACAAAUAAAUUAAUUAAAAAUCAUUGUAAUUCUCACUUAAAAUAAAAAGAUGAAAUAAUGAAAACAUAUAGAUAAAAAUUGAAAAAAAUUUUUAAAAAGGCUAUUUAAAAUAUGAAGAUUUCAAAAUGGGAUUAAAUUACAAGUUAUCUGCUGGGAUCGUAGUGAGGUAAAGAUAUUUCCAGCAGAGGACAGCUCAAGCUAUUUCACUGUUCCUAAAAAUUAAAAUGUGUAUGAGAGUAAAAUGGAAGGUCCUCUGAUUUUUCCAUAUACACUGUUGGGGAGGAAGAAAAUUUCCUCUACCCUUCUAGGUUCUUCUGGCUGGUGUAAGAAUUAGACUGGCAUGAGGCAGAUUAUUAGGAGAAAAUCAAACAAAAUUUAAUUACAUGUAUCAUAGAAAAGACCCAGGAGAACUGAGUAACUCAUGAAAAUGGCCAAAGUCUUUACCUUAAAUACCAUCUCCAUCUCUGGUGAAAGAAAAAGAGGAUGUUGGGAGUAGGGGUUUGGGGCUUUAAGGGGAGGAAGGCAAUUGGCAUGGAGAUGGAAAAGCAAAUAUUUGGUAAGCAGAAACACAAAGUGGACUAGAUAGAGACAUGGAGUGGACUCUUAUCUCUAAGAGGUCCCCCCACCAUACCUAGUUCAUGUUUGUUGCAGAAAAUCUGGUGAUAGCUCUAUUCCUGUUAACAGGCCCUCUAUCUAAGCUUUUCAAGCAAGUGGGGGGGAGCGUGGGGGGGAGGGAGAAAAUCAACAUUUCUUCCAGAGCCUUUCAUGUGUUGAUUGCUUUUCGCUCUAAAUCUGUAUGCUAAAGAGACAAUUUUAGGGUGGCAAGUUUUGCUCCUUGACUAUGUGAACCAAACAAAGCCCAAUGUUUUGAUCUAAUCAGUUCAAAAUGGUAUUGACAGUACUGAAAAGGACAAAACACCUA